AGACCGAUAGCGAACAAGUACAGUGAUGGAAAGAUGAAAAGCACUUUGAAAAGAGAGUGAAACAGCACGUGAAAUUGUUGAAAGGGAAGGGCUUGCAAGCAGACACGGUUUUACCGGGCCAGCGUCGAAAAGGGGGGAGGAACAAGAACUCGAGAAUGUGGCGCGCACCUUCGGGCGCGCGUGUUAUAGCUCGUGUUGACGCCUCCAUCCCUUUUCGGGGCCUGCGAUUCUAGGACGCUGGCGUAAUGGUUGCAAGCNGCCCGUCUUGAAACACGGACCAAG
This 282-nucleotide ribosomal RNA is filed under the name Clavispora lusitaniae. RNAcentral describes it as "partial large subunit ribosomal RNA". It matches the Rfam family "Eukaryotic large subunit ribosomal RNA", at positions 331 to 670 of the family's 3401-position model. The record is from RNAcentral. Lineage: Eukaryota; Fungi; Ascomycota; Pichiomycetes; Serinales; Metschnikowiaceae.